AUAUCUAAUAAGGCUUGAAGUUCCGGGGUGGGUUAAGCCGUACCUUCCCUCGGUAGGGGGGGAANNACCUGGGUGUCGUGUGAUCGUAUCUGAGACACUGUGCAAGGCGGCUAACUGGAACGAACCUGACGGUGAGGGACGAAAGCCAGGGGCGCGAACCGGAUUAGAUACCCGGGUAGUCCUGGCCGUAAACGAUGUGGACUUGGUGUUGGAAUGGCUUUGAGUUGUUCCGGUGCCGAAGGGAAGCUGUUAAGUCCACCGCCUGGGAAGUACGGUCGCAAGAUUGAAACUUAAAGGAAUUGGCGGGGGAGCACCACAACGCGUGGAGCCUGCGGUUUAAUUGAAUUCAACGCCGGACAUCUCACCAGGAGCGACAGCUGUAUGAUAAUCAGGUUGAUGACCUUAUUUGACUAGCUGAGAGGAGGUGCAUGGCCGCCGUCAGCUCGUACCGUGAGGCGUCCUGUUAAGUCAGGCAACGAGCGAGACCCAA
This 490-nucleotide ribosomal RNA is filed under the name uncultured rumen archaeon. Its description in RNAcentral is "bacterial SSU rRNA". It matches the Rfam family "Archaeal small subunit ribosomal RNA", at positions 571 to 1055 of the family's 1478-position model. The record is from RNAcentral.